This 370-nucleotide ribosomal RNA is filed under the name uncultured prokaryote. RNAcentral describes it as "bacterial SSU rRNA". It matches the Rfam family "Bacterial small subunit ribosomal RNA", at positions 524 to 896 of the family's 1533-position model. The record is from RNAcentral.
GACGAAGGAUGCAAGCGUUAUCCGGAUUCAUUGGGUUUAAAGGGAGCGUAGGUGGACUGAUAAGUCAGUGGUGAAAUCUCUUCGCUUAACGAAGAAAUUGCCAUUGAUACUGUUGGUCUUGAGUACAGUUGCUGUGGGCGGAAUAUGACAUGUAGUGGUGAAAUACAUAGAGAUGUCAUAGAACACCGAUUGCGAAGGCAGCUCACAAAGCUGUAACUGACACUGAGGCUCGAAAGUGCGGGGAUCAAACAGGAUUAGAUACCCUGGUAGUCCGCACCGUAAACGAUGAUUACUCGCUGCUAGAGGGCAACUUUUAGUGGCUUAGCGAAAGCGAUAAGUAAUCCACCUGGGGAGUACGCCGGCAACGGUG